RNAcentral lists this ribosomal RNA (439 nucleotides) under uncultured bacterium. RNAcentral's name for it is "bacterial SSU rRNA". It matches the Rfam family "Bacterial small subunit ribosomal RNA", at positions 30 to 464 of the family's 1533-position model. The record is from RNAcentral.
AUUGAACGCUAACGGUAUGCUUAACACAUGCAAGUCGAACGGCAGCACAGCAGUAGCAAUACUGUGGGUGGCGAGUGGCGGACGGGUGAGUAAUACAUAGGAAUCUGCCUUGUAGUGGGGGAUAACCCGGGGAAACUCGGGCUAAUACCGCAUAAUCUUUACGAAGCAAAGUGGGGGACCGUAAGGCCUCACGCUAUAAGAUGAGCCUAUGUCGGAUUAGCUAGUUGGUAGGGUAAAGGCCUACCAAGGCGACGAUCCGUAGCUGGUCUUAGAGGAUGAUCAGCCACGCUGGGACUGAGACACGGCCCAGACUCCUACGGGAGGCAGCAGUGGGGAAUUUUGGACAAUGGGGGGCAACCCUGAUCCAGCCAUGCCGCGUGAGUGAAGAAGGCCUCGGUUGUAAGACGUCUUUCGGUACGAGAAAGAAAUACGCACAGGA